CCCCGGGCUCAACCUGGGAACUGCAUUCGAAACUGGCAGGCUUGAGUCUUGUAGAGGGGGGUAGAAUUCCAGGUGUAGCGGUGAAAUGCGUAGAGAUCUGGAGGAAUACCGGUGGCGAAGGCGGCCCCCUGGACAAAGACUGACGCUCAGGUGCGAAAGCGUGGGGAGCAAACAGGAUUAGAUACCCUGGUAGUCCACGCCGUAAACGAUGUCUACUUGGAGGUUGUGCCCUUGAGGCGUGGCUUCCGGAGCUAACGCGUUAAGUAGACCGCCUGGGGAGUACGGCCGCAAGGUUAAAACUCAAAUGAAUUGACGGGGGCCCGCACAAGCGGUGGAGCAUGUGGUUUAAUUCGAUGCAACGCGAAGAACCUUACCUGGUCUUGACAUCCACAGAACUUUCCAGAGAUGGAUUGGUGCCUUCGGGAACUGUGAGACAGGUGCUGCAUGGCUGUCGUCAGCUCGUGUUGUGAAAUGUUGGGUUAAGUCCCGCAACGAGCGCAACCCUUAUCCUUUGUUGCCAGCGGUCCGGCCGGGAACUCAAAGGAGACUGCCAGUGAUAAACUGGAGGAAGGUGGGGAUGACGUCAAGUCAUCAUGGCCCUUACGACCAGGGCUACACACGUGCUACAAUGGCGCAUACAAAGAGAAGCGACCUCGCGAGAGCAAGCGGACCUCAUAAAGUGCGUCGUAGUCCGGAUUGGAGUCUGCAACUCGACUCCAUGAAGUCGGAAUCGCUAGUAAUCGUGGAUCAGAAUGCCACGGUGAAUACGUUCCCGGGCCUUGUACACACCGCCCGUCACACCAUGGGAGUGGGUUGCAAAAGAAGUAGGUAGCUUAACCUUCGGGAGGGCGCUUACCACUUUGUGAUUCAUGACUGGGGUGAAGUCGUAACAAGGUAACCGUAGGGGAACCUGC
Molecule: ribosomal RNA, 914 nt
Filed under: Salmonella enterica subsp. enterica serovar Newport
Lineage: Bacteria; Pseudomonadati; Pseudomonadota; Gammaproteobacteria; Enterobacterales; Enterobacteriaceae
Description: bacterial SSU rRNA
Rfam family: Bacterial small subunit ribosomal RNA
Source: RNAcentral